GAACUAGGGAACAUAAAGUAGGCAUCUGUAGUGGAUAUCUACUUGGUGAAUAUGUUUUGUAAAUCCUGUCCACCCCGUGGAUGGGUAGUCGGCAAAACGUCGGACUGUCAUAAGAAUUGAAACGCUGGCACACUGUUGGGUCCUGAGGCAACACGUUGUGUUGUCACCCUGCUUGGUGGUGGGGUGUGGACUUUGACUUCUGAAUAGUGGUUGCGAGCAUCUAAACAUAGCCUCGCUCGUUUUCGAGUGGGGCUGGUUUUUGCAAUUUUAUUAGCUAAGUUCUUAAGGGCGCAUGGUGAAUGCCUUGGCACUAGAAGCCGAAGAAGGACGUAGGAG
RNAcentral lists this unclassified non-coding RNA (336 nucleotides) under Mycobacteroides abscessus. RNAcentral's name for it is "partial 16S-23S ribosomal RNA intergenic spacer". Lineage: Bacteria; Bacillati; Actinomycetota; Actinomycetes; Mycobacteriales; Mycobacteriaceae. The record is from RNAcentral.